GAGGAAACUGAGCGUCCAGUGGCUAACUGGCUUGCCUGAAGCUGUGGCCAGUAAGAGUCUGAAAAGAGAUUUAACCUCAGCUCCAAGAUCACAGGCCAGAGCUCAGGCCCCAACAGAACAGUUGCCUGAGUGACUUGAAACAAAACCAGGGCAGAAUGUCACCGGAUCAGGGCCCAGGAGCUGUUGUCAUGCACUGAGGGUAAGCCUUCCAGGGAAGGAGAUAGCUGAAAGGAGACCUCAGGGCUGAGAAUGAGAUUGGAUGCUGGCCCAAGUGACUUCCAGCCUGACCAUCUGUGACUCAGGAUGGACCCACCUACCAGGCCGUACAAGGUGGUCUUAUAAGAAGAGGAGAAAACACAGAGACACACAGGAAGAAGGUACGAAGGUGAUGUGCAGAUGGAGGUAGAAACUGCAGUGAGAAGCCAAGCCAGGCAAGGCUGACAGCCACCAGAAGCAGGACAAGGCAAGGAAGGAGGCUCCUCCCCUGGAAACUUCAGAGGGAGCGCAGGCCUGCUGACCCCUGGAUUUCAGGCGUCUGGUCUCUAUAACUGUGAGAAAUAAAUUUCUCUUGUUUAGUAGCCACCAACCGUGUGGUGAUUUGUUAUAGCAGCCCUGGGAUCUAAUUUAAGCAGCACCCCCACCCUCCACAUACACAAGGACUCACUAGUCAUUCCCUUUUGAUCCUCUCAUGUCAAUGAUC
This is a long non-coding RNA of Cervus elaphus (red deer), 700 nucleotides long. RefSeq lists it as uncharacterized. The transcript has 3 exons. The record is from RefSeq and is a predicted model, not a curated record. Lineage: Eukaryota; Metazoa; Chordata; Mammalia; Artiodactyla; Cervidae.